UUAUUGGGCGUAUAGGGCUCGCAGGCGGUUUCUUAAGUCUGAUGUGAAAGCCCCCGGCUCAACCGGGGAGGGUCAUUGGAAACUGGGGAACUUGAGUGCAGAAGAGGAGAGUGGAAUUCCACGUGUAGCGGUGAAAUGCGUAGAGAUGUGGAGGAACACCAGUGGCGAAGGCGACUCUCUGGUCUGUAACUGACGCUGAGGAGCGAAAGCGUGGGGAGCGAACAGGAUUAGAUACCCUGGUAGUCCACGCCGUAAACGAUGAGUGCUAAGUGUUAGGGGGUUUCCGCCCCUUAGUGCUGCAGCUAACGCAUUAAGCACUCCGCCUGGGGAGUACGGUCGCAAGACUGAAACUCAAAGGAAUUGACGGGGGCCCGCACAAGCGGUGGAGCAUGUGGUUUAAUUCGAAGCAACGCGAAGAACCUUACCAGGUCUUGACAUCCUCUGACAAUCCUAGAGAUAGGACGUCCCCUUCGGGGGCAGAGUGACAGGUGGUGCAUGGUUGUCGUCAGCUCGUGUCGUGAGAUGUUGGGUUAAGUCCCGCAACGAGCGCAACCCUUGAUCUUAGUUGCCAGCAUUCAGUUGGGCACUCUAAGGUGACUGCCGGUGACAAACCGGAGGAAGGUGGGGAUGACGUCAAAUCAUCAUGCCCCUUAUGACCUGGGCUACACACGUGCUACAAUGGACAGAACAAAGGGCAGCGAAACCGCGAGGUUAAGCCAAUCCCACAAAUCUGUUCUCAGUUCGGAUCGCAGUCUGCAACUCGACUGCGUGAAGCUGGAAUCGCUAGUAAUCGCGGAU
This 798-nucleotide ribosomal RNA is filed under the name Bacillus mojavensis. RNAcentral describes it as "bacterial SSU rRNA". It matches the Rfam family "Bacterial small subunit ribosomal RNA", at positions 551 to 1349 of the family's 1533-position model. Lineage: Bacteria; Bacillati; Bacillota; Bacilli; Caryophanales; Bacillaceae. The record is from RNAcentral.